UACGGCGAUAUCCCUUGACAACACUGGUUCUCGUUCGAUCACCGAAGUUAAGCAACGUCGAGACUGGUCAAUACCUAGAUUGGCGAUCGCUUUGGAAUACCAGGUGCUGUAGG
Non-coding RNA from Acanthosepion pharaonis, 113 nucleotides. NCBI's taxonomy places the organism in Eukaryota, Metazoa, Mollusca, Cephalopoda, Sepiida, Sepiidae. The record is from the annotation of a GenBank genome assembly.